AUUGAACGCUGGCGGCAGGCCUAACACAUGCAAGUCGAACGGUAGCACAGAGAGCUUGCUCUCGGGUGACGAGUGGCGGACGGGUGAGUAAUGUCUGGGAAACUGCCCGAUGGAGGGGGAUAACUACUGGAAACGGUAGCUAAUACCGCAUAAUGUCGCAAGACCAAAGAGGGGGACCUUCGGGCCUCUUGCCAUCGGAUGUGCCCAGAUGGGAUUAGCUUGUUGGUGAGGUAAUGGCUCACCAAGGCGACGAUCCAUAGCUGGUCUGAGAGGAUGACCAGCCACACUGGAACUGAGACACGGUCCAGACUCCUACGGGAGGCAGCAGUGGGGAAUAUUGCACAAUGGGCGCAAGCCUGAUGCAGCCAUGCCGCGUGUGUGAAGAAGGCCUUCGGGUUGUAAAGCACUUUCAGCGGGGAGGAAGGCGAUACGGUUAAUAACCGUGUUGAUUGACGUUACCCGCAGAAGAAGCACCGGCUAACUCCGUG
This 488-nucleotide ribosomal RNA is filed under the name uncultured bacterium. RNAcentral describes it as "partial 16S ribosomal RNA". It matches the Rfam family "Bacterial small subunit ribosomal RNA", at positions 30 to 507 of the family's 1533-position model. The record is from RNAcentral.